RNAcentral lists this ribosomal RNA (253 nucleotides) under uncultured bacterium. Its description in RNAcentral is "partial 16S ribosomal RNA". It matches the Rfam family "Bacterial small subunit ribosomal RNA", at positions 524 to 776 of the family's 1533-position model. The record is from RNAcentral.
UACGAAGGGGGCUAGCGUUGCUCGGAAUCACUGGGCGUAAAGGGCGCGUAGGCGGACUUUUAAGUCGGGGGUGAAAGCCCAGGGCUCAACCCUGGAAUUGCCUUCGAUACUGAGAGUCUUGAGUUCGGAAGAGGUUGGUGGAACUGCGAGUGUAGAGGUGAAAUUCGUAGAUAUUCGCAAGAACGCCAGUGGCGAAGGCGACAUACUGGAUCAUUGCUGACGCUGAGGCGCGAAAGCGUGGGGAGCAAACAGG